This 361-nucleotide long non-coding RNA is filed under the name Cricetulus griseus (Chinese hamster). Its description in RNAcentral is "lncRNA (ENSCGRG00015034290.1)". Lineage: Eukaryota; Metazoa; Chordata; Mammalia; Rodentia; Cricetidae. The record is from RNAcentral.
CUCAGCCUGUGGAGCCACCCAAGCUCGGCUAAAGAGACCAUUUCUCCAACCGUGUCUUCUAGUAGGGGGUUUCCUAGGAUUGGGGGGGGUGUUGUGAGGGGCGGCUGUCUGCUUGUGACUACUUCCUAGAAGAAAGCACCGAGAGCUCCAGGAAAGCAGGGCCCUUACCCUCCUGUGAUCUGACCCCAAGCCGAUGUGGUUUGCAUCUGGGAAACUCAAUCCCCAGUCAGCCUCUUGGGAGUGGACAUGGGACCUGUUGUGUUGACGCUGCUAAUGUAUAUGGAUGUUUUGCCUAUAUGUAUGCCUAUGCACCAUGUAUAUGCAGUGCCUGCAGAGGCCAGAAGAGGGCACCAGAUCCCCU